UAGGGAAUCUUCCGCAAUGGACGAAAGUCUGACGGAGCAACGCCGCGUGAGCGAAGAAGGCCUUCGGGUCGUAAAGCUCUGUUGUCAGGGAAGAACAAGUACCGGAGUAACUGCCGGUACCUUGACGGUACCUGACGAGAAAGCCACGGCUAACUACGUGCCAGCAGCCGCGGUAAUACGUAGGUGGCAAGCGUUGUCCGGAAUUAUUGGGCGUAAAGCGCGCGCAGGCGGUCCUUUAAGUCUGAUGUGAAAUCUUGCGGCUCAACCGCAAGCGGCCAUUGGAAACUGGGGGACUUGAGUGCAGGAGAGGGAAGUGGAAUUCCACGUGUAGCGGUGAAAUGCGUAGAGAUGUGGAGGAACACCAGUGGCGAAGGCGGCUUCCUGGCCUGUAACUGACGCUGAGGCGCGAAAGCGUGGGGAGCAAACAGG
This 429-nucleotide ribosomal RNA is filed under the name uncultured bacterium. RNAcentral describes it as "bacterial SSU rRNA". It matches the Rfam family "Bacterial small subunit ribosomal RNA", at positions 355 to 776 of the family's 1533-position model. RNAcentral also lists the same sequence under 1 other name. The record is from RNAcentral.